This 133-nucleotide small RNA is filed under the name Salmonella enterica. Its description in RNAcentral is "partial RtT sRNA". It matches the Rfam family "RtT RNA", at positions 33 to 130 of the family's 130-position model. Rfam says of the family: This family represents a bacterial cis-regulatory element known as RtT RNA. Lineage: Bacteria; Pseudomonadati; Pseudomonadota; Gammaproteobacteria; Enterobacterales; Enterobacteriaceae. RNAcentral also lists the same sequence under 1 other name. The record is from RNAcentral.
UGGUCGCAGGUUCGAAUCCUGCACGACCCACCAAUAUACAAGGUGGUAACUGGUAGAGAACGUGAAGGAUAACGUUGCUUUAGCAACGGCCCGAAGGGCGAGGCGAAGCCGAGUCAUCCUGCACGACCCACCA